ACUCAAAUGAAUUGACGGGGGCCCGCACAAGCAGUGGAGAAUGUGGUUUAAUUCGAUGCAACGCGAAGAACCUUACCUGGGUUUGAAAGGCAAGUGACACCCCGUGAAAGCGGGGCUCGUAGCAAUACGCACUUGUACAGGUGCUGCAUGGCUGUCGUCAGCUCGUGCCGUGAGGUGUUAGGUUAAGUCCUGCAACGAGCGCAACCCCUGCACUUAGUUGCCAUCAGGUCACGCUGGGCACUCUAGGUGGACUGCCUACGCAAGUAGCGAGGAAGGCGGGGAUGACGUCAAGUCCUCAUGGCCCUUACAUCCAGGGCAACACACGUUCUACAAUGGUCGGUACAAAGGGUUGCCAAACCGCGAGGUGGAGCCAAUCCCAAAAAACCGACCUCAGUUCGGAUUGGGGUCUGCAACUCGACCCCAUGAAGCUGGAAUUGCUAGUAAUCGCGUAUCAGCAUGACGCGGUGAAUACGUUCCCGGGCCUUGCACACACCGCCCGU
This 500-nucleotide ribosomal RNA is filed under the name uncultured bacterium. RNAcentral describes it as "partial 16S ribosomal RNA". It matches the Rfam family "Bacterial small subunit ribosomal RNA", at positions 899 to 1397 of the family's 1533-position model. The record is from RNAcentral.